UUUUCUCUCACCUUAGAAAGCCACUUCAGCAAAAGAGCAUAGAGCAAUUUGUGACACCUGGCACUUCUAUAUCAACUUUCGUCAACGAUUUAAUCAACCAAAUAAAUGAUCUGGGCUCCUGAUAUUUAUUGGGCUUAAGAAAAAAUUGUUAUCAUUUUUGCUUGGACUGAACAGUGGCCCAUUAUCAAACCACCAUCCUCUGACCUAGGGCUCUCCAUCGGAGCUGCUGCUUCUUUUUUGUCCUACCCCUUUCUCUUCGCCAUCUUCAACCACGUAACGGUCUGUAUUAAUUUCAAUCAACAAGGAAUCCCAAUACUUCCUCCUCAAUGUAUCUUAAAUUACUGGUUUUGCAACUUCAUUCCGUGUGUACAUAGAGACCCUCUGAGAGAGUUGAGGCUGUUGUAGGGAGAUUGAUUGUCUUGAAAACAAUGCUCUGUCUCUGGGCCAAUAAUGUUAAGAAAGCCGGUGAGCGGAUAGGCGUUGAUACGGUACUCAUCGAUUGGAAUGUACGUUCGUUUAUUAAUUCAUCAACUUUUUCAAUUCGUUGUUAUCUUAUUUCACUUCCCCUCAUCAAUCAAUGUUCACCGGUCUUUAUGAACUAAAUGUGUUUGGUGCUACAAGCAGCAACCCAAAUUUUUUUAUUUGGUGACGCCACUGUUGCUAUUAGGUACACGGAUCAAACAGUGUUCGUUGACUUAGCCGAAUCUAUCCACCGCAUCCCGAGGGAGAGCUUUCGGUUUCGCAAUUAAGACCAACUCAUGCUCUUGGCUACCACGAUCACAAUUUUGCGAGGGAUGAUCUCAGCAAGUUAUCCUUUCUUCGCAUAGUUUUGAAGGAUCAUCUAAACCUGGUCCUUACAGUAAAAAGAUUGUUUUAAUCCCUGUACCAUGCUGGUUCUUAUGGGAGCUGACUAAUAAAGGAUGUCCAAGCGUCUUUCUAAGUUUUGUCAUGUAGCUUUGAUAAUCUUUUCCUAGAGUCUCCAAACCCCUUGAGUGAAGCGUGGGUUUCUAACCCAUAACGUUCCUUCAUAUUGGUUUAUUGCGUCUUCCAGUCCUCAAUAUGUUUUGCCUUCUUCUCUUGGUGUCUUUAUUUUGUCUUGCUGGUCAAUCGAUUGAUUUUCAAAGUAAAUAAUUGCAUGUCUACCCAGCGGGAUAAACUUUGAGUUUUCUAUCAUACAAACAACUGGAAACUGAAGUUAUGUACAUUACGGACAAAAACUAAAGGAGAAUCUUUGCUUUACUGUAGAGGCGAUGGAGAGGUAGGUUUGAAUUUCUUAAAUCUUAUCUUUAGCUCCAUACCCCUUGAUUUAUAUAGUUCAUGUUAGCUUCUUCUUUUGUAUGCCAUAUGCAACUCUUGGUAUAAUUUAGUCAAAGAAGUUGGUGAUGCAACUUUUGGGAAUGUUUGGCGAGCUGUCAAUAAACUGACUGGUGAAGUUCUGAGUUGUUUUUCACGAGAGAUCAAGUCUUCUACACUAUUUGUAUUUGAUUUUAGGGUACUAAAGUUUUCAUGACAUGUUGCAGUGUAAAAUAAUGAACAAUAAGAAUGUAUAUCUCUUGGGAAGACUGUAUUAAUCUGAGGGAAGUGACUGUAUUAAUCUGAGGGAAGUGAAAGGUUCCGUAUCUUAUGAAUGAUUCUAUUAAUCAUCUUGCAGAAUCUGAUGUCCGAAAUUGGUGCUUUCAAGUGUCUCUCUUGCAUGCAUCAGCGUGGAUACUUCCACAGUGAUCUAAGGCCAGCUGCACACGUGUGAUGUGUAUUUUUGAUUCAGUUUCCAAGUUUUUUUAGCAGUCAUAUUUAAAUAUUCUGUCAAUGAAUCAUGUGUAUGUUUUUUUCUCCGAUGCAGAAAAUCUGUUAGUCUCUAAAGAUGUCAUUAAGAUGACUGAUAUUGGCCAGGCCGAGAGGUCAAUUCGAGUCCACCGUACACAGUGUAUGUCUCGACACGCUGGUACAAGGAACCUAAAGUACCAACUAGAGUCAUAUGUGUACACGUCAAAAUUUGGGCGCUAUUCUGCCUAAGAUGUUGUCUCUUCGCCCUCUCUUUCCUGGAGCUAGUGUUAUAGGUAUCCCAACUGAAGAGGCAUGGUUGGAGGGGCUUUAAUCGCUUACUAAUUCCCUCAAGUAAUGUUUGCUUAAAUCUUCAACGUUUCUGGAGUAGUAGUGUCCCAGAUAUUUACGGUUACACCAAUAUCAACAAUAUUUAUAUCUAAGUGAGCACUAAAAUAGUGUAACUUAUUAUCUAAAACAAAAGGAUUUACGGAGAAAGUUUCUUUUUUGGUUCUGAAAA
This is a long non-coding RNA of Brassica napus (rape), 2281 nucleotides long. RefSeq lists it as uncharacterized. NCBI's taxonomy places the organism in Eukaryota, Viridiplantae, Streptophyta, Magnoliopsida, Brassicales, Brassicaceae. The transcript is spliced from 6 exons. The record is from RefSeq and is a predicted model, not a curated record.